RNAcentral lists this long non-coding RNA (3890 nucleotides) under Gossypium raimondii (Peruvian cotton). Its description in RNAcentral is "long non-coding RNA (GRAI_LNC005942)". The record is from RNAcentral. Lineage: Eukaryota; Viridiplantae; Streptophyta; Magnoliopsida; Malvales; Malvaceae.
CUGACCUAUGAUAUCAGCUGUGCAUCGAAUAACCUUGCUGCACCGGCCAGAUGUUGGACUAAAUUCCAUGGGAACAUUAAAUCCAUCAAUCAGGGAGAUAUCAUAGAAAUCCAAGUUGUUGAACUGGUUUAAUGCGAAUUCAGCCAAGGUGUUUGGGGGUGCACCAUAGGCUUUGCACUGAAGUAGGCCCCCACAGUCACCGGUUUGGCAUCUGCCUCGUCCGGCUCUGUCGAAUUGGCAAUUGGUUCGACCCCAGAUACGGGCUCCUGCAGUGCCAGGAUUCACUUGUAGAUUCCAAACUGCGCCUCUGCUCAGCUCUCUGCCACCACCAGGAACGGCUGCUGCCCAGACCUUGUAAGGACAGUUGUUUCGAAUGUCAAAACUGGCAGCACUGGCCACCGUGAAGCAGAGAGCAAUAAAAGAGAUUGAAAAUAGAGAGAGGCUUUUGAAGUUCAUCUUUGAUAUUAGCUUUCUACUUGUAUGUAGUGUGUUAGGAAAAGGUGGAUUUAUAGAGUUGUGAAUGCGGUUCAGGACCAGUAGCUAAUGUAAUCAUAUAAAUGUUACUGGAAAAAUAAUGUUGAAGUUAGGUAGGAAAUUAACGUUGUAUUGGCAUUAGAGGUAAAAGUCAUAUAGGAAGAAACUUCCAAAAUUCCAAAUUCCAAAUUCUUAAUUAUCCUUUGUGGAAUAAUCUACAAAUUAAUGAUUCUAUGCCGCUAGAUGAUAUGAGAUCAUUUAUGAACAAUGACGUGGUUAUGCCUACAAAUUAAUAAUCUACAAACUAAUUUUCCAACCAUAAUAAUUCACACUUAAUAAUAAUUUAUGAACAGUGGCUUGGUUAUGUCUACGAAAGAAGACUAGGACCAUAAUAAUUCCCACUUAAUUUUCCUUCAUUUCUUCUUCUUCUUCACCAAAAUUGACUUACAAAAAGCUUUAAAGUAGACUUCAAAGUAGAGUGUUGUAAUAAAGCUAACAAUUUACUCUUAUUUUUUUUUAUUUUUAAUGUUUACUUUUAUGAAACUAUAUGAAAAAGCAUAACAAAAGUUAUUGCAUAAAAAAUAUUUUUUAAGUGUAUUGGUGGUCCAUUUGUAAGUGUAAUGUGAAUUCUAUUAAUUUUUUUACUUAAAAAUAUCAAUUUUAUUUUCUUUUUUUAAUCUAUGUAUCUUAAAAUCUUAUUUUAAAAAAUAAAAUAUAAGUUUUUAAGGAAAUCAAAAUAUGAAAAUUAAACUUUGGGUUAACUUUUUUUUUUCAAUCACAUGAUUUUAUCUCUACGAUAUAAUGAAAAGAAAAGAUGAUAUAGAGUUUAAACCCAUAUUAUCUAAAUGCCAAACGAAAACUCUUAUCAUUACUCUAAAUAAGUCUUCACCAAUCAAAUCAUUUUAUUAUAACAAUUGAUAAACUUGUUUUUAAAACUCUUAUAAUUGAUAAACUUUUAUAAUGUACAAAGUAAUAAAUGAAAAAAAAAUGUUGUCCUAAUAUCCAAUGAAUUUACGAGUUCUAACUAGUAUCAAGAAAAACAAGCUUUAAAAAAAAAGUAAUGGAUAAAAAUUAUGUGAAGUGUAGCUUUCUUUUCCACUAAAUCGUCCAUUUUAAGGGGGGGGGGGGGGUGGGAAUUCAUGUUCUUCAGCACCUUACCUUUGUAAUCAAAUUUAAACCCAUUAAUGAUGAAUAUCCAUUUCAUGGUAAUUCAUUUUUUAGGAAAUGGAAUCUGAUUCAAAUGAAGACUAAAUAUAGGAACCAAGGUGAAGGGUUUGAUGGGAGGGAAUACCAGGACAAAUGGUGUCCUCUAGCUCUUUGGAGUGAAAGAUUAAGGGUGAUUCAAAGGGACCCUUUAUUUCUCUUAUAGAGUUCAAGUUUUAGAUCCACUUUAUUUCUCUUUAAUGGGUUUUCUUAUUUUUGAAUACAAUGAUUUUUUGUGCAUUUUUCCAUCUCCAUCCAAUAAUCAUCUGAAGAGCCACAAUUCAGCUUCACCAGACUCCAAAAUACCCAAAUUCACAAGGAGGAGAGGGCCAUACGGUCCCCAACCUAGGUCCCACCCCUUUCGAACACGGCACGCACAAUCUAGGAUUCAACCACCAUUGGGAUUCAAUCACAAUCCACCCUUCUUUGGAUGAUUUUACAAAGAGAACGAAGCUUAGCAAGAAACAAAAUUUCAUCAAUCGAUAACCUCUUCUUAUUGAACACGAGCUCGUUGCGAGCCAACCAAAUGGACCAAAGAAAAGAAGCGGCGCAGAUGAACCACCAUUGCUUUAACAAACCUGCAAAAUUCAUGUUAAAUAGCUUAAUUACAUUUUAAUUAAUGGGUAUACUACAGAAAUUGUCACUAAACUAUGGUUCAAAUUAUGUUUCGGACACUCAACAAAAGUGAUUAUUUAUUAUUAUUUUUUGUCAGCAAUAAUUUUUUAUUUUAUAUAUUUUUAAAUUUAUUAUUUUUAUAUAUUUUUGUUGUUUAGAUUUAGGAUCAAAUUGAGAACACUUGUAAAUUUUGAGGGCUAAUUUUUUAAAAUCAUGACUAAAUUGAUAUAAUAUGUAAAAGUUGUGGGCUAAAUGAUUGAACUAUACAAUGUGGGUGCUUAAAUUGCAAACUUUUUAUUUUGGGUGCCUAAAAUAAAAAAUUUUGAUAGUUGGGCUUGACAUUUUUUUGUAAUUGGAAUGUUUUUUUUUUAAUUUGGACUUUAUUAUUAUUAUUGUUUAAUUUUUUAUUUUAUUUGUUUGUAAUCUGAGCCCGGGCUAAAUUGGGCCUCUACAAUUGCAAAAAAAAAAAGGACCCAAGUAGACCCUGAAUGGAUGAUAGAUUAUAAAUGUGUGACUUGUUUACUUCAAUUUAAAUAAAAGCUUGAAUUCUAAUAGAUAAGCAACUAAAAGAUGAUGUGUUGGGUGUAUACUUCUACAUUAUAUAGCAUCUUCCAUAAUAGUGGAAUUUAUAAUCAAAUAAAUGGUAAAUAAUAUCUUCUCAUUGACGUUACAUGAUAGAUAGAAAGUAAUGUGGUCACGAGUCAUUUGUAUUAGUGAUAAAUGACUUAAUUAUCAUUUGUUAGUAAUUAUCUUUUCAUGAAGGAAGAUUAAUAGUUAUCACUAGAUAAAAUAAGUUCGAAGAGCUAAGUCAUGAUAUUUUAAUGGUUGUAAUUAAUAGAUGAAAAGUCGAAAUUUAAUUACAAAUUAUUUUAACUCAUAUUAUAAAUGUUCAGUCAAUUCCCCUGUAGCUCGAGACAACCAGAAACGACAAAUUACAUAAACUUUUACCCAUUAAUUCCAUAAACUCCAUAUUUGAAGUUUUAAUACAAUUUCACUUACUGCACGGCAUACACGUGCUUGUGAAAAAAACUUAUUUCUCCAUUAUUUAAUAUGUAACUUCAUAAGGCAGCAAGCAGCCAUUCAGUCAAGGGCAGAACACAACCCUGUAAUUGGUCCCACCAGGGCAAGUAAAUGUGCUUGUUUGAUCAUCUUUAGGGUAACUGUAAGCAUCGGGGCAUCUUGCCUUGAAGAACCUGGACAAAUCCGUUGGGCCACAAUUCCCUGAAUUGCAACAAUAUUGAUCUGUUUUGUAGACAGUGCAAGGGUUAUUGCAUCCACCUGGGGCUUUCAACUGAUUAGGGCACUGACCUAUGAUAUCAGCUGUGCAUCGAAUACCCCUGCUGCAACUGCCAGAUGUUGGACUAAAUUCCAUGGGAACAUUAAAUCCAUCAACCAGAGAGAUAUCAAAGAAAUCCAAGUUGUUGAACUGGUUUAAUGCGAAUUCAGCCAAGGUGUUUGGGGGUGCACCAUAGGCUUUGCACUGAAGUAGGCCCCCACAGUCACCGGUUUGGCAUCUGCCUCGUCGAGCUCCGUCGAAUUGGCAAUUGGUUCGACCCCAGAUACGGGCUCCUGUAGUGCCAGGAUUCACGUUUAGAUUC